GCUCUGCAGCAGAGAGAUCUGGGCUCGAGCCGGCCUAGAUCCAGUCCCUCGACUACUCAGCCUCAGCUUCCCCAUCUGAAAAGGGUAAUGGAAUCUAUUCCUCAGGAGGCUAUGGAGGCUAUGUUUUGACAAAAUGCCUCUAAAGUGCUUAUGUAAUUAUUAUCCCAGGUGGAACUGACCUUGCCUCUCAGAGCAACCAGUUCUUCCUCUCCAC
This 214-nucleotide long non-coding RNA is filed under the name Homo sapiens (human). Its description in RNAcentral is "HSALNT0276723". The record is from RNAcentral. Lineage: Eukaryota; Metazoa; Chordata; Mammalia; Primates; Hominidae.